AUUGAACGCUGGCGGCAGGCUUAACACAUGCAAGUCGAGCGGGGUGAUGGUGCUUGCACUAUCACUUAGCGGCGGACGGGUGAGUAAUGCUUAGGAAUCUGCCUAUUAGUGGGGGACAACAUCUCGAAAGGGAUGCUAAUACCGCAUACGUCCUACGGGAGAAAGCAGGGGAUCACUUGUGACCUUGCGCUAAUAGAUGAGCCUAAGUCGGAUUAGCUGGUUGGUGGUGUAAAGGCCUACCAAGGCGACGAUCUGUAGCGGGUCUGAGAGGAUGAUACGCCACACUGGGACUGAGACACGGCCCAGACUACUACGGGAGGCAGCAGUGGGGAAUAUUGGACAAUGGGGGGAACCCUGAUCCAGCCCUGCCGCGUGUGUGAAGAAGGCCUUAUGGUUGUAAAGCACUUUAAGCGAGGAGGAGGCUCUUUUGGUUAAUACCCAAGAUGAGUGGACGUUACUCGCAGAAUAAGCACCGGCUAACUCUGUGCCAGCAGCCGCCGCGG
This 503-nucleotide ribosomal RNA is filed under the name uncultured bacterium. RNAcentral's name for it is "partial 16S ribosomal RNA". It matches the Rfam family "Bacterial small subunit ribosomal RNA", at positions 30 to 523 of the family's 1533-position model. The record is from RNAcentral.